CGAAGCACACCGGGGACGUUCCGAGCACCUGCUUCCUCUCACUGCAUCUUGCGUUUGGGAGGGGGGGGCUCAGAGGCGCCGCGUCCCCGCACACGCCGGCCGCCCCAGCCCCGCGGGCUCCUUUCGGCAGGAAGCGCGUCCCCCGGCGCGGCCAGCAGAGGGCGUCCCGCCGAGCGCCGGCCGCGCAGAGCCGGCCCCGCGGGGGGAGCUCCCGCGCCGGGCGGCCCGCAACCCCCGCGCCCCACGCAGCUGUGGGUGAGAUUGACAGCGACCUGAUAGGAUUUAUUCUGCUGUUUUUAAUGCUCAAGAAGUGUUUCGUGUGAAGUAUUGGGAUGCUAUUAGAGAAAAUUUAAGUGUGUAUAUUGUAUAAAUUACCUAUACAACAUCUGUUAUCAUGCACUUUUUCUUUUUAACACCGAGAAGCGGCGUCAGAUGUCUGCAGUGCUUGGAGCUGCUCUGUCGUCAGCGGCAGGAAGUUUAUCCCGGGGCAUCCACAGGAUGUUCUUUUUCAUCACCACCAGCUACAGAGAACAAGUGAUAAAUAACAGCGCCUGCAUGCACGGUCACAUACAUUUCCUCACGUAACAAUAACCCUGAAUAUGCAGGAAGCAAGACCCAUUUGAAGCUGGGAUCAGAGAGACGUUCUCUGGCUUUUGAUGGAGAGGUCGUUGCCUUACAGAGACCCAGCCAGUGACCUUGGCUCCCAGCGCCAGCUUCUGCCAAAGAAGCCCCUGGCUCAGACCACUACGUUAAGCCAAGGAAAUCCCUUGACGACAUCUGUCCCCAGCACGGAAUCAAACUAUUAUUCAAAGGACAAACCGUCUCUUAUUAAUUAGAAGAAAUCCUAGAAGCAGCCUUGUGCACAAGGGCACGCAAGGCUUUUACUUCUCCCUUGGUGAGUAUUAGCCCUGGGCCUCAGAGCAACGCCGGCGGGGACUGUUGUAUCACCGCCUUAGCUCGAUGGGGGACAUUCAGGGUAUUUAAUUAUUCCAUGUUUAUUCUAGAGGACAAUAAAUUUUGUCGUUUCUAUAAACCUAAGCAUGCCAGUACACAAUUCAGUUGCUUCCAUGAAAAAAUUUAACUCAUUAUUUCUACUAACGGACCAGUUUGAAAUUUUCAACAGUUGGGACACUUUGGUGAAGUACAAAAGACCGGCCCUCCCACUCGGCGCUGUUACUGAAAUGAGCUCCUUCGGAGGAGCUGUCCCAUCCCAUCCUUGGCUUCACGGACCUUGUUAUUUCAGUUCGUGGGAUGGGAAGCAAGGAUUGGGGAGAGGACCUUUAGUUCCCAGUGGGAAUUGAAUGUUCAGAAGGCAGGAGAAAAGUAAGUCGAGAAACCUCACUGUGUUUUCUACACCUCCCCUCCCACCAUCCUUCUGGUUUCCUUGCUCUGUGGCGGCCGCGGGCCUCUCUCCCAUCACCCCUCUUCAGUCUUUGCUGAUAGCAGGAAUGGUAGCUGCAGAGUCGCUGCCGGAGCCCCUGGCCUCUCUGUUCCUCCUGGAAGCCUUCCUCAGGCACCAGUCCUUCUUUCCGCCUUGCCUUUUGACCCGCACAGUAAAACAGACCUGACGAGGUUGACGAGGGACAACGGUGAGUUUCCCUUACCAGCUUUCGACUGGCCAGAGAUGCAAGCAGAUGUGGGGUGCACAUUACUAAAUCUUUGGAGUCCUCAUUCUUCCGCGAUGUGCUCAUUCUGGACAUUUCCUAGGAAUGGAAUCAUACACCAUGCAGCCUGGGUGUCUGGCUUCUUUCUUAGCAUCACGUUUUCAAAGUUCGUCCGUGUUGCAGCGUGUAUCAGCACUUCAUUCUUUUUUCUCCCGAAUAAUAUUCCACCGAAUGGACACCCUGGGCUUCCUUCACCCACUAGUCAGGUGUCGGCGCGUUUGGAUUCUUUCCACUUUGGGGCAAUUAGGAAAAACGCUGCAGUGGACGUGCACGUGCGGGUGUUUUGGGAUGCGGAACUAGGUCCUCCGGUUACCGUCCAGCGCGGACAGUGGGGCGCGGCCUGCCAGCGGGGGCCGGGCCUCCGGCUGGGGCGGGUCUGCCCCGGGGACACGGCCGAGCCCGCGGGCCGCCGGCGUCGGGAGCUGCCUCGGGGCGCGGGCGCGGCUGCGGCAGGAGCGGCCCGUCCGGGAGCGGCGCCCCGGCCCGUCCAGGGCAGUCUUCUGCCCGCGCGGGAGCCCGAGGCCAUCCGCACCGAAAGUCGCCCGCUGAAUCGCCCUCCCGCCUCCAAGAACACAGGAAGCCCCAAACACUAACACCUCGAUUCCAGAUACGCCGCCACGUGCAGGUGCCUCUCCUUUUCCUAUGUACGAGGUGGUGGACCGUCCACACCAAGACCUUUAAGAGCGAGGGGAUGCUGUUCAUAACCGCGCGCUGACGGCAGCGGGACGCUUGUCUGGGCGAACCAGGAUACUAGUCUAUAGGGUCACCUUGGGCGAUUUGAGCAAUUUAUCUAAAUGUAUCUAAACUCACAAAACAUUCUUGACCCCUCACACUCUGCCGGUGAAACGGAAGGAAGGAGGAAGUGAAGCGAUUUUAAAAAGAAACAAAGCCCAAUUCAGCACUGCGUUUGGAAAAAUGUCCCGUUUCGUUAAGAACACUGAGACCUAGUUAGCGUAUUUUGCACCACUUUUGUUAAAUAUUUGGAGAUUUAUUUGUAAACACUGCAACAAUUUCUGUGGACAUCAGCGAAGCAACGUUAGCAAGUGUCACGGGGGAGGUGGAACUAGCCUGUGUUCCAGACUGACUUGGCAUUUCUUCCCAAGGGGUUCUCUCUGCG
Molecule: long non-coding RNA, 2781 nt
Organism: Equus caballus (horse)
Lineage: Eukaryota; Metazoa; Chordata; Mammalia; Perissodactyla; Equidae
Source: Ensembl